GAGUGAAGAGGGAAGAGCUCAUCAUUGGAAUUGGCGGUGUUGCACCGUCCGAGUUGUAGAUGAGGAGUGGUUCAUCUGGACUGCAUGGCGUCCAAGUACAAUAGGCCGUCAGUGGGACAUCAUAGAGGGUGACAAUCCCGUCCUUGAUGCCAAUGUGCAAGUCCAUUACGAUGACCAUCUCAGAGAGUCGAGCAGUUUGGGAUUUGCUGCUUAAACAUGGGAGGUAGAUUCCUUCUAAAGCUAAAUACAGGCAAGAGACCGAUAGAGAACAAGUACCGCAAGGGAAAGAUGAAAUAGCACUCUGUGAAGGGAGUCAAAAGGCGUGAAAUUGUUGCGAGAGAAGCGAUUCAAGUCAGCGUAGCUAGGCCCAUUAAGCCUCUUUGCGCUUUGGACUAGCUUUGCCAGCGGUCUUGUCCUUAGAGACUUGACUUGUAUGUCCAGCCUGGUAUGCACAGGUAGCCCUCCGGGGUCAGUGACAUGGCUGGUGGAAUGGCUUGCAAUCGACCCGUCUUGAAACACGGACCAAGGAGUCUAACAUGUAUGCGAGUAUAAGGGUGGCAAACCCGUAUGCGCAAUGAAAGUGAUUUUCGGUGAUUGAGAAUGGCCUGAUGACCAGACAAGCAAUAUAUGUCCCUCGUACGGCCAUUGCCCAAGUUCCGUGGUAGAUCCCACGAACAUGGAGUUGGAGCAUACAUGCUAGGACCCGAAAGAUGGUGAACUAUGCCUGGACAAAGCGAAGCCAAAGGAAACUCUGGUGGAGGCUUGUAGCGAUUCUGACGUGCAAAUCGAUCGUCUGAUCUG
RNAcentral lists this ribosomal RNA (801 nucleotides) under Cantharellus ferruginascens. RNAcentral describes it as "eukaryotic LSU rRNA". It matches the Rfam family "Eukaryotic large subunit ribosomal RNA", at positions 91 to 913 of the family's 3401-position model. Lineage: Eukaryota; Fungi; Basidiomycota; Agaricomycetes; Cantharellales; Hydnaceae. The record is from RNAcentral.